GAAGGAGACCUACUCAUCUAAUACUUGAAAGCGAUUUGCGAAUAGAGUUUGGAGAGAGUCACCUAAGGUCGUUGAGGGUUUUGUUGGUUAUUGUGAUUAAGUUCACCUUUCUUCUGAAUUAUUCGGGUGUUGCUGAGAGCAGCAGAUAAGCACCGGCAAGAGCGGGCUAUUAGCUCAGGUGGUUAGAGCGCACCCCUGAUAAGGGUGAGGUCCCUGGUUCGAGUCCAGGAUGGCCCACUUUCGAACUAGAUAGGGUUUGAGAUAGAUGGGGGUAUAGCUCAGCUGGUAGAGCGCCUGCUUUGCAAGCAGGAUGUCAGCGGUUCGAGUCCGCUUACCUCCACCAAGAAUGGACAGGCGACGAGAAUAGGAGUGAAGCGAAAGCAAUCAGCAACUAGAGAUGUGAGUAGACAUCUUGGAUUGCUGGUCUCUUGAGGCUAGCGAGAACCUUGACAACUGCAUAAAAGAAAAGAAAGCAAAGGUAGUUCAAAGUCUGUUGCAGACAUUUGAAAGAAACGAAGCCUAAUGUGCUGAGUAAGUUAGUUGUGAGAGUAGCGAGAGCUAUUAGCGCGAAUGGUUUAUUCGGUUGCAUCAGCAAUCGACCUUCAUCUAUCCAUGAAGGCA
RNAcentral lists this transfer RNA (621 nucleotides) under cyanobacterium CBW1106. RNAcentral describes it as "partial 16S-23S ribosomal RNA intergenic spacer". The stretch from base 268 to 340 matches the Rfam family "tRNA". The record is from RNAcentral. Lineage: Bacteria; Bacillati; Cyanobacteriota.